UACGAAGGGGGCUAGCGUUGUUCGGAUUUACUGGGCGUAAAGCGCACGUAGGCGGAUCGUUAAGUCGGGGGUGAAAUCCUGGAGCUCAACUCCAGAACUGCCUUCGAUACUGGCGAUCUUGAGUUCGGGAGAGGUGAGUGGAACUGCGAGUGUAGAGGUGAAAUUCGUAGGUAUUCGCAAGAACACCAGUGGCGAAGGCGGCUCACUGGCCCGAUACUGACGCUGAGGCACGAAAGCGUGGGGAGCAAACAGG
Molecule: ribosomal RNA, 253 nt
Filed under: uncultured bacterium
Lineage: Bacteria
Description: partial 16S ribosomal RNA
Rfam family: Bacterial small subunit ribosomal RNA
Source: RNAcentral